RNAcentral lists this ribosomal RNA (467 nucleotides) under uncultured bacterium. RNAcentral's name for it is "bacterial SSU rRNA". It matches the Rfam family "Bacterial small subunit ribosomal RNA", at positions 55 to 519 of the family's 1533-position model. The record is from RNAcentral.
AUGCAAGUCGAACGGUAACAUUUCUAGCUUGCUAGAAGAUGACGAGUGGCGGACGGGUGAGUAAUGCUUGGGAACUUGCCUUUGCGAGGGGGAUAACAGUUGGAAACGACUGCUAAUACCGCAUAAUGUCUUCGGACCAAACGGGGCUUAGGCUCCGGCGCAAAGAGAGGCCCAAGUGAGAUUAGCUAGUUGGUAAGGUAACGGCUUACCAAGGCGACGAUCUCUAGCUGUUCAGAGAGGAAGAUCAGCCACACUGGGACUGAGACACGGCCCAGACUCCUACGGGAGGCAGCAGUGGGGAAUAUUGUACAAUGGGGGAAACCCUGAUGCAGCCAUGCCGCGUGUGUGAAGAAGGCCUUCGGGUUGUAAAGCACUUUCAGUUGUGAGGAAAAGUUAGUAGUUAAUACCUGCUAGCCGUGACGNUUAUAACAGAAGAAGCACCGGCUAGCUCCGUGCCAGCAGCCGCG